GGGGCUGUAGCUCAGAUGGCUAGAGCGAUACGUUCGCAACGUAUAGGUCGAGGGUUCGACUCCCUUCAGCUCCACCA
RNAcentral lists this transfer RNA (77 nucleotides) under bioreactor metagenome. Its description in RNAcentral is "tRNA-Ala". It matches the Rfam family "tRNA". From Rfam's summary of the family: Transfer RNA (tRNA) molecules are approximately 80 nucleotides in length. Their secondary structure includes four short double-helical elements and three loops (D, anti-codon, and T loops). The record is from RNAcentral.